This 389-nucleotide ribosomal RNA is filed under the name uncultured Clostridium sp. RNAcentral describes it as "bacterial SSU rRNA". It matches the Rfam family "Bacterial small subunit ribosomal RNA", at positions 355 to 762 of the family's 1533-position model. Lineage: Bacteria; Bacillati; Bacillota; Clostridia; Eubacteriales; Clostridiaceae. The record is from RNAcentral.
UGGGGAAUAUUGCACAAUGGGGGAAACCCUGAUGCAGCAACGCCGCGUGAGUGAUGACGGCCUUCGGGUUGUAAAGCUCUGUCUUUGGGGACGAUAAUGACGGUACCCAAGGAGGAAGCCACGGCUAACUACGUGCCAGCAGCCGCGGUAAUACGUAGGUGGCAAGCGUUGUCCGGAUUUACUGGGCGUAAAGGAGCGUAGGCGGAUUUUUAAGUGGGAUGUGAAAUACCCGGGCUCAACCUGGGUGCUGCAUUCCAAACUGGAAAUCUAGAGUGCAGGAGGGGAAAGUGGAAUUCCUAGUGUAGCGGUGAAAUGCGUAGAGAUUAGGAAGAACACCAGUGGCGAAGGCGACUUUCCGGACUGUAACUGACGCUGAGGCUCGAAAGCGU